GGAGGGGGCUAGCGUUAUUCGGAAUUAUUGGGCGUAAAGGGCGCGUAGGCGGCCCGGUAAGUCAAAGGUGAAAUCCCUCGGCUCAACUGAGGAACUGCCUUUGAAACUGUCGGGCUUGAGGCCGGGAGGGGGUAGCGGAAUUCCCAGUGUAGCGGUGAAAUGCGUAGAUAUUGGGAGGAACACCGGUGGCGAAGGCGGCUACCUGGACCGGUUCUGACGCUGAUGCGCGAAAGCGUGGGUAGCAAACAGGAUUAGAUACCCUGGUAGUCCACGCUGUAAACGAUGGGUGCUCGGUGUCGCGGGUAUCGACCCCUGCGGUGCCUUAGCUAACGCGUUAAGCACCCCGCCUGGGGAGUACGGUCGCAAGGCUG
This 371-nucleotide ribosomal RNA is filed under the name uncultured bacterium. RNAcentral's name for it is "bacterial SSU rRNA". It matches the Rfam family "Bacterial small subunit ribosomal RNA", at positions 527 to 896 of the family's 1533-position model. The record is from RNAcentral.